This 113-nucleotide ribosomal RNA is filed under the name Acanthosepion pharaonis. Lineage: Eukaryota; Metazoa; Mollusca; Cephalopoda; Sepiida; Sepiidae. The record is from RNAcentral.
UACGGCUAUAUGACGUUGAAACAUCGGUUCUCGUGUGAUCACCGUAGUUAAGCAACGUCGAGCCUGGUCAGUAAAUAGAUGGGUGACCGCUUGGAAAUAUCAGGUGCUGUAAG